UACGGAGGGUGCAAGCGUUAAUCGGAAUUACUGGGCGUAAAGCGCGCGUAGGCGGCUUGGCAAGUAGACUGUGAAAGCCCUAGGCUUAACCUAGGAAUGGCAGUCUAAACUGCUCGGCUAGAGAUCAAUAGAGGGGGGUAGAAUUCCUGGUGUAGCGGUGAAAUGCGUAGAUAUCAGGAGGAAUACCAGUGGCGAAGGCGGCCCCCUGGAUUGCAUCUGACGCUGAGGUGCGAAAGCGUGGGUAGCGAACAGG
RNAcentral lists this ribosomal RNA (253 nucleotides) under uncultured bacterium. RNAcentral describes it as "partial 16S ribosomal RNA". It matches the Rfam family "Bacterial small subunit ribosomal RNA", at positions 524 to 776 of the family's 1533-position model. The record is from RNAcentral.